RNAcentral lists this ribosomal RNA (465 nucleotides) under uncultured Klebsiella sp. RNAcentral describes it as "bacterial SSU rRNA". It matches the Rfam family "Bacterial small subunit ribosomal RNA", at positions 338 to 795 of the family's 1533-position model. Lineage: Bacteria; Pseudomonadati; Pseudomonadota; Gammaproteobacteria; Enterobacterales; Enterobacteriaceae. The record is from RNAcentral.
CCUACGGGGGGCAGCAGUGGGGAAUAUUGCACAAUGGGCGCAAGCCUGAUGCAGCCAUGCCGCGUGUGUGAAGAAGGCCUUCGGGUUGUAAAGCACUUUCAGCGGGGAGGAAGGCGGUGAGGUUAAUAACCUCAUCGAUUGACGUUACCCGCAGAGGAAGCACCGGCUAACUCCGUGCCAGCAGCCGCGGUAAUACGGAGGGUGCAAGCGUUAAUCGGAAUUACUGGGCGUAAAGCGCACGCAGGCGGUCUGUCAAGUCGGAUGUGAAAUCCCCGGGCUCAACCUGGGAACUGCAUUCGAAACUGGCAGGCUAGAGUCUUGUAGAGGGGGGUAGAAUUCCAGGUGUAGCGGUGAAAUGCGUAGAGAUCUGGAGGAAUACCGGUGGCGAAGGCGGCCCCCUGGACAAAGACUGACGCUCAGGUGCGAAAGUGUGGGGAGCAAACAGGAUUAGAUACCCGUGUAGUC